RNAcentral lists this ribosomal RNA (505 nucleotides) under uncultured bacterium. Its description in RNAcentral is "bacterial SSU rRNA". It matches the Rfam family "Bacterial small subunit ribosomal RNA", at positions 32 to 510 of the family's 1533-position model. The record is from RNAcentral.
AAUCAACGCUGGCGGCGUGCCUAACACAUGCAAGUCGAACGCGAAAGGGGGCUUCGGCUCCUAAGUAGAGUGGCGUCCGGGUGAGUAACACGUAGGUAAUCUGCCUUCGGGUGGGGAAUAACCAGUCGAAAGAUUGGCUAAUACCGCAUAAUGCAGCGGCACCUAAUGGUGAUUAGUUGUUAAAGCGGGGGAUCGUAAGACCUCGCGCCUGAAGAGGAGCCUGCGGCAGAUUAGCUAGUUGGUGAGGUAAUGGCUCACCAAGGCUUCGAUCUGUAGCUGGUCUGAGAGGACGGCCAGCCACACUGGCACUGACACACGGGCCAGACUCCUACGGGAGGCAGCAGUGGGGAAUUUUGGGCAAUGGGCGAAAGCCUAACCCAGCAACGCCGCGUGAGGGAGGAAAUCCUUCGGGAUGUAAACCUCACAAGCAAGGGAAGAGAGCUCAGGGCCGAAUAAGCUUUGAGUCCGACGGUACCUUGCGUAAGCCACGGCUAACUACGUGCCA